GGAGAUAAAGCUUAAUGGUAAAGUACUGGCCUGGAAUUCUUGAGGACCUGGGUUCAAUCCCCAGUUCCUUUC
RNAcentral lists this transfer RNA (72 nucleotides) under Neotoma lepida (desert woodrat). It matches the Rfam family "tRNA". From Rfam's summary of the family: Transfer RNA (tRNA) molecules are approximately 80 nucleotides in length. The record is from Rfam by way of RNAcentral. Lineage: Eukaryota; Metazoa; Chordata; Mammalia; Rodentia; Cricetidae.